Molecule: ribosomal RNA, 475 nt
Filed under: uncultured Glomus
Lineage: Eukaryota; Fungi; Glomeromycota; Glomeromycetes; Glomerales; Glomeraceae
Description: SSU rRNA
Rfam family: Eukaryotic small subunit ribosomal RNA
Source: RNAcentral
AGCAGCCGCGGUAAUUCCAGCUCCAAUAGCGUAUAUUAAAGUUGUUGCAGUUAAAAAGCUCGUAGUUGAAUUUCGGGAUCAAAUUGUCGGUCGUGCCUCGGUACGCACUGGUAUUAUUGGUUCCUACCUUCUGAAGAACCGCGAUGUCAUUAAUUUGGUGUCGUGGGGAGUCAGGACUGUUACUUUGAAAAAUUAGAGUGUUUAAAGCAGGCUUACGCUUGAAUACAUUAGCAUGGAAUAAUGAAAUAGGACGUUUGAUUCUAUUUUGUUGGUUUCUAGGAUUGACGUAAUGAUUAAUAGGGAUAGUUGGGGGCAUUAGUAUUCAAUUGUCAGAGGUGAAAUUCUUGGAUUUAUUGAAGACUAACUACUGCGAAAGCAUUUGCCAAGGAUGCUUUCAUUAAUCAAGAACGAAAGUUAGGGGAUCGAAGACGAUCAGAUACCGUCGUAGUCUUAACCAAUAAACUAUGCCGACUAG